UGAUUCAGCGGCGGAUGGGUGAGUAAUGCCUAGGAAUCUGCCUGGUAGUGGGGGACAACGUUUCGAAAGGAACGCUAAUACCGCAUACGUCCUACGGGAGAAAGCAGGGGACCUUCGGGCCUUGCGCUAUCAGAUGAGCCUAGGUCGGAUUAGCUAGUAGGUGAGGUAAUGGCUCACCUAGGCGACGAUCCGUAACUGGUCUGAGAGGAUGAUCAGUCACACUGGAACUGAGACACGGUCCAGACUCCUACGGGAGGCAGCAGUGGGGAAUAUUGGACAAUGGGCGAAAGCCUGAUCCAGCCAUGCCGCGUGUGUGAAGAAGGUCUUCGGAUUGUAAAGCACUUUAAGUUGGGAGGAAGGGCAGUAAGUUAAUACCUUGCUGUUUUGACGUUACCGACAGAAUAAGCACCGGCUAACUCUGUGCCAGCAGCCGCGGUAAUACAGAGGGUGCAAGCGUUAAUCGGAAUUACUGGGCGUAAAGCGCGCGUAGGUGGUUCGUUAAGUUGGAUGUGA
This 513-nucleotide ribosomal RNA is filed under the name Pseudomonas sp. RNAcentral describes it as "bacterial SSU rRNA". It matches the Rfam family "Bacterial small subunit ribosomal RNA", at positions 88 to 597 of the family's 1533-position model. Lineage: Bacteria; Pseudomonadati; Pseudomonadota; Gammaproteobacteria; Pseudomonadales; Pseudomonadaceae. The record is from RNAcentral.